RNAcentral lists this ribosomal RNA (423 nucleotides) under Triticum aestivum (bread wheat). Its description in RNAcentral is "partial small subunit ribosomal RNA". The record is from RNAcentral. Lineage: Eukaryota; Viridiplantae; Streptophyta; Magnoliopsida; Poales; Poaceae.
UCAGAGCCAGAGCGCGCCGGCGUCCUUGAGUAUGGGCACGAGCUCGCCGGAGAUGUGCACGGCCAUGAGCCAAUCGAGCCCACCGAGGAUCCUCCCACCGACGAAGACCGCCGGCAGCGCGACGACAGCCUUGCCUCCAGCGUUCCCGGCCACCGCCGCGGCGAGCUCGGCCGGGAAGCUAAGUUGGUAUGGAAGAACUGCUGUGCCGCGGGAAAUCCUUCUCUAUACAAGUUCUCGUACGAGGUUUUUUAACAGAACUUCGAUAGGCGAGGGUUCGUCACCUCCCUGCCGUCGUCCCUCGCCGCCGCGUCGUCGAGCCGCGAGCCCGCUCUCCUGUCCGGCCGCGCCCUCGGCCUCGGCCUGCUCGGACCGCCGCGGGCACGCCGGCAGCCGGUCAGCGUUGUAGGGGAUCGCUUGGUACAU